RNAcentral lists this transfer RNA (67 nucleotides) under Tadarida latouchei (La Touche's free-tailed bat). RNAcentral describes it as "tRNA-Lys". It matches the Rfam family "tRNA". From Rfam's summary of the family: Transfer RNA (tRNA) molecules are approximately 80 nucleotides in length. Their secondary structure includes four short double-helical elements and three loops (D, anti-codon, and T loops). The record is from RNAcentral. Lineage: Eukaryota; Metazoa; Chordata; Mammalia; Chiroptera; Molossidae.
CAUUAAGAAGCUAAACAGCGCUAACCUUUUAAGUUAGAGAAUAGGAGUACAAGCCUCCUCUUAAUGA